Molecule: long non-coding RNA, 489 nt
Organism: Sapajus apella (tufted capuchin)
Lineage: Eukaryota; Metazoa; Chordata; Mammalia; Primates; Cebidae
Exons: 2
Source: RefSeq, a predicted model, not a curated record
GUGACAUUUAAAACCACAGUAAAAAAUGGCAGAGCUUCCAACAGCCUAGGUUCCUGAAUGACUGCAUGAAGCGUGCCCCAGCCCCUGCUGACAGUUGGACUUUAUAUGCUGCAAAGUACCACCCAGAUUUCUUCUCCAGGAUUGGAAGAUUUGUUCCCCCAGCUGUUAGAAGUGCUGCAGGAAGACAGUCCUCAGUUCUCAGUCCUCUUUGGGGAUUGCUGUGGCAAAAGAAAACUGGAGGUCCAAAAUGAUAACUCCUUCCAAGAGUAGCUCAUAUACAAAAAUUGAGAGGUGCCUGUUCUUGCUUCAACUUGGGACAAUCCUGUAGGGCCAUCCCAGAUCCAGAGCUUAUCAUCAGGUUGGUUGAUUGAUUACACUUCAACCUCUCUCUCUAUCCAAUUCAGCUUUCUUUCCCUCCCUUCCACAAGUGUUGACCCCAAGACCACUCCCUAAUAAAUGGCCUGCACACUAGUCUCCAUCUAAGACUAA